AUAUUGAAAGCAGCGAAUGGACAGUUCACAGCGAAUGGACAGUCCAAUGUUCACGGUAGCUGACUUCACAAUGAAUAUAUACGGUCAGGUUUCCAGAGCUUAUGCGUGGACAGUGUGACGCAAACCCCGACAGAUAAUUGGAAGCACUUCUAGCAGCAAACUUUCCCUAUAGCAAACUGGAGGCGCUCAUCAAAAUAGAUCUCCAUCGUCUGUGAUGUUAAGGGUAUGGCUGUGUAUCCGAGGAGACGAUUGGGGGUAGACCCAAGACGAUUGGAUGAAGAUUGUAGUUAGUGACGUCACACCAUGCCCAUAAAUUCCUCGCGAGAGAUAACGCCGUCAUCAUUGGCAUCAAGACGACUAAACAUAGCUUCGAUUUGGUCGUCGUCAAGGUUUUCCUCCUUCAGCAUCUGACAGAUCAAACCUUUGGGUAGUUUCCCACAACCUUCCUUGUCAAGUGCUUUAAACUGCUCUGAAAACGCUGUCCUGGAACA
Ylistrum balloti is the source of this 491-nucleotide long non-coding RNA. RefSeq lists it as uncharacterized. NCBI's taxonomy places the organism in Eukaryota, Metazoa, Mollusca, Bivalvia, Pectinida, Pectinidae. The record is from RefSeq and is a predicted model, not a curated record. The transcript is spliced from 3 exons.